AGGCUUAACACAUGCAAGUCGAGGGGCAGCAUUUUAGUUUGCUUGCAAACUGAAGAUGGCGACCGGCGCACGGGUGAGUAACACGUAUCCAACCUGCCGAUAACUCCGGAAUAGCCUUUCGAAAGAAAGAUUAAUACCGGAUAGCAUACGAAUAUCGCAUGAUAUUUUUAUUAAAGAAUUUCGGUUAUCGAUGGGGAUGCGUUCCAUUAGUUUGUUGGCGGGGUAACGGCCCACCAAGACUACGAUGGAUAGGGGUUCUGAGAGGAAGGUCCCCCACAUUGGAACUGAGACACGGUCCAAACUCCUACGGGAGGCAGCAGUGAGGAAUAUUGGUCAAUGGGCGAGAGCCUGAACCAGCCAAGUAGCGUGAAGGAUGAAGGCUCUAUGGGUCGUAAACUUCUUUUAUAUGGGAAUAAAGUUUUCCACGUGUGGAAUUUUGUAUGUACCAUAUGAAUAAGGAUCGGCUAACUCCGUGCCAGCAGCCGCGGUAAUACGGAGGAUCCGAGCGUUAUCCGGAUUUAUUGGGUUUAAAGGGAGCGUAGGUGGAUUGUUAAGUCAGUUGUGAAAGUUUGCGGCUCAACCGUAAAAUUGCAGUUGAAACUGGCAGUCUUGAGUACAGUAGAGGUGGGCGGAAUUCGUGGUGUAGCGGUGAAAUGCUUAGAUAUCACGAAGAACUCCGAUUGCGAAGGCAGCUCACUAGA
This 701-nucleotide ribosomal RNA is filed under the name uncultured Bacteroidales bacterium. RNAcentral describes it as "bacterial SSU rRNA". It matches the Rfam family "Bacterial small subunit ribosomal RNA", at positions 44 to 733 of the family's 1533-position model. Lineage: Bacteria; Pseudomonadati; Bacteroidota; Bacteroidia; Bacteroidales. The record is from RNAcentral.